CCUACGGGGGCAGCAGUGGGGAAUAUUGGACAAUGGGGGCAACCCUGAUCCAGCCAUGCCGCGUGUGUGAAGAAGGCCCUCGGGUUGUAAAGCACUUUCAGUGAGGAAGAACGCCUGGUGGUUAAUACCCAUCAGGAAAGACAUCACUCACAGAAGAAGCACCGGCUAACUCCGUGCCAGCAGCCGCGGUAAUACGGAGGGUGCGAGCGUUAAUCGGAAUUACUGGGCGUAAAGCGCGCGUAGGUGGCUUGAUAAGCCGGUUGUGAAAGCCCCGGGCUCAACCUGGGAACGGCAUCCGGAACUGUCAAGCUAGAGUGCAGGAGAGGAAGGUAGAAUUCCCGGUGUAGCGGUGAAAUGCGUAGAGAUCGGGAGGAAUACCAGUGGCGAAGGCGGCCUUCUGGACUGACACUGACACUGAGGUGCGAAAGCGUGGGUAGCAAACAGGAUUAGAUACCCCGGUAGUC
RNAcentral lists this ribosomal RNA (464 nucleotides) under Vreelandella stevensii. RNAcentral describes it as "partial 16S ribosomal RNA". It matches the Rfam family "Bacterial small subunit ribosomal RNA", at positions 338 to 795 of the family's 1533-position model. Lineage: Bacteria; Pseudomonadati; Pseudomonadota; Gammaproteobacteria; Oceanospirillales; Halomonadaceae. The record is from RNAcentral.